UGCUAUGAUAUCCUGUUAAAAAUCAUAAGAUAGCGAACAUCCUUGGCUGCUAUGAUAGCCAGUUAACUAGCUAGUUAUCUAACGUCUAUGGCCAGUUCAUGCACCACAAUAUAUCAUACUUUCUUACAAAAAAACAUAGCUAGUUAACAGCAUCACUGUUUCAAACAUAUAGAAUACAUUCCAGCUCCUUCCUUGUCAUUAUUAUGAUACACAUUUGUGCUGACUGAUUAACACAGUGUCAAGUUACUUUCCAGUGUGUGCUGCACACGGUGCACCCAGGUAAAACCACGUUAGAAUCAUUAAGGGGGUUAGAUUAAUCUGGUCCGGGUGCCGUGUCGGCAUGUUUUGCCCUGGUUAAAAAUGAAUCGUAUUCGAUUUGGAACUGGACUGCCACCGGUAGUGAUUAUGGUGCCCGCUCUGUCUGGUGGCGAAGUCGGUUCCAAACAAAAGUGAGCACAACAGUGCCUUCACAUAGGCAGGGCUGAGGUGCUAUCCCUUCCUACAGCACAACAGUGUCUUCACAUAGGCAGGGCUGAGG
RNAcentral lists this long non-coding RNA (538 nucleotides) under Salmo salar (Atlantic salmon). Its description in RNAcentral is "lncRNA (ENSSSAG00000107308.1)". Lineage: Eukaryota; Metazoa; Chordata; Actinopteri; Salmoniformes; Salmonidae. The record is from RNAcentral.